This is a long non-coding RNA of Rattus norvegicus (Norway rat), 1217 nucleotides long. Lineage: Eukaryota; Metazoa; Chordata; Mammalia; Rodentia; Muridae. The record is from Ensembl.
ACACCAAGCCUAGCAAGCGGAGUUUACUGAAAGAAUGAUCCAGUCUCGCUUUCUGUGGACAAAUGGGGAGACUGAGGCCCAGACAAGGGAGAGACCACUCCAAAUCAUACAGAGCUUCACAGUGGAUAACAGACUUAUUUAGACCACAGAGAAGACUGCAGAGUAGGGCUGCUGGGGACACGGAGGGAACACGGGCCUCCAGGCCUCCGUAGCUGUGCCCACUCUAGCCUUUGAUCUACUCACUGCCAGCUCUGCCUUCUGUCAGCUCCCGGAACAGCACAGCCACGCACUUGUCUUCAGGGGCUAUGGGUCUCUUGGCUCCUCCUGGACCCUAGUGCAGAGACUUAAAGAGGUCCUGCCUCCUUCCAGGACAGCUCUGCCGCAGUACAAGGAGAGUCUGGCUAACCCAGCUUCCGGCUCGGAUCUUCCUGAAGCUUUCUCAAUGAGACCAAGCAAGACUUAGCAGCCAGGCUUGGGUAGGGCAAACAACCUGCUUUCAGGGAAAGCAGGCUUCCCGGAAGACAGGAGGUACAAUCCUGGGAGUCUAGAGGAGUCGACUAGAGCCUUCCCAGUCUCAGGCUGGGAGUGAAUUGCGCUAUUCUUUUUUGGGCUGCCAGCCAGAGGGAAAAACCAGUUUGUGAAGAAAAGUGUCCCGGGCUAUGGAGCCAGCUGGACCAUAGCCAGCCUGGUCCAGACUCCAGAGACUGCAGCUGCUGCACCAGAAGACCUCGUACUCUCUCCUGCUGUCCACUAGAGCAAGGUUGGAAUGGUCCUCUGGUCACCAUGGCAUCCACCAGUAGCCUCAGUUCCAGAUCUUGAGGAAGCUGUCCUGGGACCCUGUUGCUACAGCCAUGCCAUCACUAGUCACUCCCAGGCAACAGACAUGGUUGUGGUGUCCUGCUCUGUCAGCCUUCCAGACACUGCAGGUGAAGUCAUCGUUCUAUCCAGCAAGAAGGAGGUGGUGGCCACUAUUAGGGAAGAAUACAGAUGUGAUCCCACAGAUGAUGUCAUGGGAGUAGGUCAUGAGCUGCAUGGAUGUCAAACAGCCUGCACACAACCUCAUCUGGGCCAGUGGCAAAGGCACUGCCACUGGAAAAGAAACAGAUGGCAUUGAUGUGAGACUCACGGAAGGUCUGCCCGCACAUCUCUUCUCAGACAUCCCAGGGCUUGGCUGAACCGUCGUUGCAAGCACCAGAGACAAACAGUCUGGUGUCAGG